This is a non-coding RNA of Lactobacillus crispatus, 56 nucleotides long. The record is from Rfam. NCBI's taxonomy places the organism in Bacteria, Bacillati, Bacillota, Bacilli, Lactobacillales, Lactobacillaceae.
CAAGAGUUAGUCAAUGCGAUUACUCCUAGAUUGGAAUAUUGGAAUACUAAUGAUGA